CGAACGAUGAUGCCAGCUUGCUGGUGGAUUAGUGGCGAACGGGUGAGUAACACGUGAGUAACCUGCCCUUAACUCUGGGAUAAGCCUGGGAAACUGGGUCUAAUACCGGAUAUGACCUUCCAUCGCAUGGUGGUUGGUGGAAAGCUUUUUGUGGUUUUGGAUGGACUCGCGGCCUAUCAGCUUGUUGGUGAGGUAAUGGCUUACCAAGGCGACGACGGGUAGCCGGCCUGAGAGGGUGACCGGCCACACUGGGACUGAGACACGGCCCAGACUCCUACGGGAGGCAGCAGUGGGGAAUAUUGCACAAUGGGCGCAAGCCUGAUGCAGCGACGCCGCGUGAGGGAUGACGGCCUUCGGGUUGUAAACCUCUUUCAGUAGGGAAGAAGCGAAAGUGACGGUACCUGCAGAAGAAGCGCCGGCUAACUACGUGCCAGCAGCCGCGGUAAUACGUAGGGCGCAAGCGUUAUCCGGAAUUAUUGGGCGUAAAGAGCUCGUAGGCGGUUUGUCGCGUCUGCCGUGAAAGUCCGGGGCUCAACUCCGGAUCUGCGGUGGGUACGGGCAGACUAGAGUGAUGUAGGGGAGACUGGAAUUCCUGGUGUAGCGGUGAAAUGCGCAGAUAUCAGGAGGAACACCGAUGGCGAAGGCAGGUCUCUGGGCAUUAACUGACGCUGAGGAGCGAAAGCAUGGGGAGCGAACAGGAUUAGAUACCCUGGUAGUCCAUGCCGUAAACGUUGGGCACUAGGUGUGGGGGACAUUCCACGUUUUCCGCGCCGUAGCUAACGCAUUAAGUGCCCCGCCUGGGGAGUAC
This 808-nucleotide ribosomal RNA is filed under the name Pseudarthrobacter sp. RNAcentral's name for it is "bacterial SSU rRNA". It matches the Rfam family "Bacterial small subunit ribosomal RNA", at positions 63 to 883 of the family's 1533-position model. The record is from RNAcentral. Lineage: Bacteria; Bacillati; Actinomycetota; Actinomycetes; Micrococcales; Micrococcaceae.